This is a long non-coding RNA of Macadamia integrifolia, 1138 nucleotides long. RefSeq lists it as uncharacterized. Lineage: Eukaryota; Viridiplantae; Streptophyta; Magnoliopsida; Proteales; Proteaceae. The record is from RefSeq and is a predicted model, not a curated record. The transcript has 3 exons.
CAUGGUUUAGUUUUCUGUUGUUGUAUCAUUUUUGGCUUUCUGGCCCUAUGGAAUUUAUAUCAUAGCUCAAUGGCCAGAUUCAACCCAUAAUGGCCUACUAUUAGAUGGAAGGAUUUUGAUGUAGGUUGGAGAUGUUCUACUGCAUAUGGUUGGACACAAAGAUCACUGUUCAUGGCAUUUCCUGCAAAUUUGGUUCAUGUUCAGGCCACUGCUCAAUCACACCCUUAUUACUACUCAGCUUAUAAAGCUCCCCACCAUGGAAUGAAGAAUCAGUUUUGAAUUUGUAGAAUUGGUCAGAAUGGAUCGGUAUACCGAUUAUUGGCUGAUUCUAUACCAGCGGCAUAUCUAGCCUUUUCCUUUUUAUUUUUUUUUAAUUAUUAUUAAUAAAAACAAAGAAUACAUCCCAUACAGAUUCUCUCCAACGUAUAUAAUCUUAAACAUACAUAUUUAUACUUCGUUAGUCCAUUUUGCUUGCAGAAAGAUACAUGGCUGAGGAGGAAGACAAUAUUUGAAGCCCAUACUAAAAUAGGUAACAGAUGGGCUGACAUUGCGAAGAGGCUUCCCCUUGGAAUGCAACUAAAAGAAGGCAAUAAUUCACCGGUAGAUGCUGAAGCUCAAAACAUAAAAAAUCAAAUUCUCUCCUCCAAACAUUGCAGACUAACAUGAAAAUUGUUAGUCCCAUGGUUUUGAGCGUUUGGCGUCAAGAUCGUCCAUACCCAAUGUGCUGCCACCCUCUUCUUCGGUGUCUCCAAAACCAUCCUCCGCCAAACACUCUAUUAAACCUGAUCGCAGAGCCUCCUCCCCCUGCACUGUAGUUUUCCCACCCAUCCUUUUGGAGGUUCAAGAGGACAGAGGGAGAACUAUUGGUAAGAGAAUGAGGUGGGAUUUGAGAGAUGCUUCGUUGAUGAAGAACUGGGGUCUGUGGUUGAAUAGGUUCAAUGUAAUAUGUAAGUACUUGAGACGAACGUGUAAUAAAACAAACGCAGCCUAAAGAUUGUUGAUGCAAUUUUGGUUUUUUGGCCUUAUAAUGGCUAUUUCCUCUUUGGAAAAUAGAGUCCUUUUGCAUUGUUGUAGUCCAUUAAUCAUUACAUGCGCUAUUUCUGAAUAUUAUACUUCAAAAAACUAAAGGUUUUCGAUC